This 75-nucleotide transfer RNA is filed under the name Rasbora tornieri. Its description in RNAcentral is "tRNA-Leu". It matches the Rfam family "tRNA". Rfam says of the family: Transfer RNA (tRNA) molecules are approximately 80 nucleotides in length. Their secondary structure includes four short double-helical elements and three loops (D, anti-codon, and T loops). Further hydrogen bonds mediate the characteristic L-shaped molecular structure. tRNAs have two regions of fundamental functional importance: the anti-codon, which is responsible for specific mRNA codon recognition, and the 3' end, to which the tRNAs corresponding amino acid is attached (by aminoacyl-tRNA synthetases). tRNAs cope with the degeneracy of the genetic code in two manners: having more than one tRNA (with a specific anti-codon) for a particular amino acid; and 'wobble' base-pairing, i.e. permitting non-standard base-pairing at the 3rd anti-codon position. The record is from RNAcentral. Lineage: Eukaryota; Metazoa; Chordata; Actinopteri; Cypriniformes; Danionidae.
GCUAGGGUGGCAGAGCCCGGUAAUUGCAAAAGGUCUAAGCCCUUUAAAGCAGAGGUUCAAAUCCUCUCCCUAGCU